UACAGAGGUCUCAAGCGUUGUUCGGAUUCAUUGGGCGUAAAGGGUGCGUAGGUGGCGCGGUAAGUCGGGUGUGAAAUUUCGGAGCUUAACUCCGAAACUGCAUUCGAUACUGCCGUGCUUGAGGACUGGAGAGGAGACUGGAAUUUACGGUGUAGCAGUGAAAUGCGUAGAGAUCGUAAGGAAGACCAGUGGCGAAGGCGGGUCUCUGGACAGUUCCUGACGCUGAGGCGCGAAGGCCAGGGGAGCAAACGGG
Molecule: ribosomal RNA, 253 nt
Filed under: uncultured bacterium
Lineage: Bacteria
Description: partial 16S ribosomal RNA
Rfam family: Bacterial small subunit ribosomal RNA
Source: RNAcentral